Osmia bicornis bicornis is the source of this 797-nucleotide long non-coding RNA. RefSeq lists it as uncharacterized. The record is from RefSeq and is a predicted model, not a curated record. Lineage: Eukaryota; Metazoa; Arthropoda; Insecta; Hymenoptera; Megachilidae. The transcript has 4 exons.
ACGAAAUUUUUCUCGCUGAAAAUCGAAAACGAUAUCGAGAGACGUUGGCGACGUUCGUGGAGGUGCGAUUUCUUGCAGCAACGUCAGGGUGAUUUUUAAGCUAAAUUAAAACACGGUUACUGGUUCGCGGAGAAUUCGUGGCAUCGUUAACGAUGGAACCACUGGACAUCCUUCAGGAGGAAAACUUGGAAAAUCCGAUACAACGUAGAGUCGAAGCGGUAUGCGGUAUGCGGCAUUAAAUUUCAAUGAAUUAUUCUCGUUUGACCCAGUAGGUGGUCGCUUUCGGGAAUGAACAAUGAACAGAGAAUUUCUGAUAGGUAUUCUCGAGACACCGCGUCUCUCAGGGAGGUACAUGAGUUUACAGAUUCCGUUGAAUCUUUCACUAGCCUGGAACACCUAUCGAAGUCUAUUUCGGUCGGGAAACUGUCCUUCGACCGGGAGCUACUUUUAAAAGGAUUCGGAAGUUUAUCCUGAAAUUACAGUGACGUAAAAAUUGAACUUACGAGGCUUCGUUAGAGUUUGAUACGAAAGAAGAUUCACAACCGUCCGGGUGAGUUUCGAGGGAAGACCACGCGAACGAGCGACGUCUGUUUAUUAUAGCAGGCUUUGAUGAACUGCAGAGGCGGCUAAAGGUGACGGUACAGUACCGGACAAAAGGGAUUGCCACUCGUUGACAGCGUCAGAAAUCAUCGGAGCAUAGUACUCUCGGGGUUCAAAACCAUAAUGGAGUGAAAACAAAGAACAUCGCCGAUCGGAAUAUCUAGAACUACUUACCCUUUCAUAAUAUUCGAAAUUUA